Molecule: long non-coding RNA, 203 nt
Filed under: Elaeis guineensis (African oil palm)
Lineage: Eukaryota; Viridiplantae; Streptophyta; Magnoliopsida; Arecales; Arecaceae
Description: long non-coding RNA (EGUI_LNC016818)
Source: RNAcentral
UCCGUGAUCCCAGUGAGGGCAUUUGGGGGGUUUGCUUGGUUUAUUUCUUCCCCCUCCUCAGGUUCUGCCAACACAUCCGCUAAUACAUUGCAUUGUCAGCUUUGCUAUCGACGCUUCAUCUUAAGUGCUUUGCUACUGAGGCUGCUCAUCGACUAUCUUCUUAUCUCAUCGAUCCGCUCAUUCAACAUGGGUUCAACCUUCCC